ACGGAGGAUGCAAGCGUUAUCCGGAUUUAUUGGGUUUAAAGGGUCCGUAGGCGGAUCUUUAAGUCAGUGGUGAAAGCCCACAGCUCAACUGUGGAACUGCCAUUGAUACUGGAGAUCUUGAGUGUAGUAGAAGUAGGCGGAAUAGGGCAUGUAGCGGUGAAAUGCAUAGAUAUGCCCUAGAACACCGAUUGCGAAGGCAGCUUACUAUGUUACAACUGACGCUGAGGGACGAAAGCGUGGGGAGCAAACAGGAUUAGAUACCCUGGUAGUCCACGCCGUAAACGAUGAUUACUCGUUGUUGGCGAUAUACAGUCAGUGACCAAGCGAAAGCGUUAAGUAAUCCACCUGGGGAGUACGCCGGCAACGGUG
RNAcentral lists this ribosomal RNA (369 nucleotides) under uncultured bacterium. Its description in RNAcentral is "bacterial SSU rRNA". It matches the Rfam family "Bacterial small subunit ribosomal RNA", at positions 525 to 896 of the family's 1533-position model. The record is from RNAcentral.